RNAcentral lists this ribosomal RNA (253 nucleotides) under uncultured bacterium. RNAcentral describes it as "partial 16S ribosomal RNA". It matches the Rfam family "Bacterial small subunit ribosomal RNA", at positions 524 to 776 of the family's 1533-position model. The record is from RNAcentral.
UACGUAGGUGGCAAGCGUUAUCCGGAAUUAUUGGGCGUAAAGCGCGCGCAGGCGGUCCUUUAAGUCUGAUGUGAAAGCCCACGGCUCAACCGUGGAGGGUCAUUGGAAACUGGGGGACUUGAGUGCAGAAGAGGAGAGCCGAAUUCCACGUGUAGCGGUGAAAUGCGUAGAGAUGUGGAGGAACACCAGUGGCGAAGGCGGCUCUCUGGUCUGUAACUGACGCUGAGGCGCGAAAGCGUGGGGAGCGAACAGG